Molecule: long non-coding RNA, 1109 nt
Organism: Trachemys scripta elegans
Lineage: Eukaryota; Metazoa; Chordata; Testudines; Emydidae
Exons: 4
Source: RefSeq, a predicted model, not a curated record
GGCCGCUCCGCCCCCUGCGGCCCCUCACGGAUCGUCGCCCUGGGCCCGCUACCCACCUUGCUCUUCACUUCCAUGGUGCCGAGGCCCCGGCUACCCCCAGCGCUGCGUUCUGCCAGACCACAGGGAAGGUGCAGAGGACAACACAGCCUUCCUAAAGAUUUGCAGAGCAGUUGAAUUGGCCUUCUUCUGAUGUGAAAAAGCCUCCAGGAAGCUCCCAGCACUUGAAACCACCAUGCAGGUGAUGUUAUUGCUACAUAUUUAUUAGGUUUCUUUUAAGGACCUUUUUUUCUUCUCUUGCAUUCCUGGAGUUGUUGGAGUUCCUCACAGCGGGGUGUGGCCUCAUGCUUUCUGAGACAGCCAAGGUGAUAUAAUCUCAAGUCACUGGAACCAACCUCAUAAAAAGAGAGUUCUAUAAGGAGCUGGAUGUUAUCCUUGGUGGCGACCCCAUCUCCAUCGCCAAGAGCCCCAUGGAUACUCCGGAGGGCACAAAGUUAUUGAUGAAGAGGUGGAGUUAGAUGAGGAUGUGCAGGCAGGGUCGCCUGGUGGGGCAGGCAGCCAGAAACUGUUCUCCACUCCAGAGGUGUCUAGCAAGUCUCAGCAGUUGCUCUCCAGCGAGCAAGAAGCAGGAGAUGAGACUCCUGAUGUAGCCUUCAGGAACACCCCACGCACCUCGGCUGAGCAUCUCCACCAGAUAAGAAAGCACCCAAGAUGCAGCAAAUAAGAUAUGUUCCGGGAGGUCCUGCAGUGCUCCAAUGCAGAAAAAAGGGAUAGAAAGGAGAGCUGGGAAGCAGAACGGCAGGACAGAAAAGAGAAUCAUGCAUUUGUUAAGGAUGCUACUCAGUGGAUGCUUAAAGUAAUGGAGGAGCAAACACAGAUGCUGAAGUCCUUAAUAAUGCUGCAGACUGAGCAGAUCAGUGCUCGACCUCCACUGCAGCACAUUCAGAACCCUUUUCCAGCCCCCUUUCCCCCAACUCCACCCACACAUUCCUUUCCACCUUCCGGGACUUCUUGGUUUCCCCUUCACUUUACCCCCUCGGAAAGCUUUCACAAUGAUAGCUGGACCUACACACAGCUGUGAAAGUCUGCCCUUUCCUGGUUCCUCCUUUCCC